RNAcentral lists this ribosomal RNA (440 nucleotides) under uncultured bacterium. RNAcentral's name for it is "partial 16S ribosomal RNA". It matches the Rfam family "Bacterial small subunit ribosomal RNA", at positions 338 to 795 of the family's 1533-position model. The record is from RNAcentral.
CCUACGGGCGGCAGCAGUGGGGAAUAUUGCACAAUGGGGGAAACCCUGAUGCAGCGACGCCGCGGGAGUGAAGAAUUAAUUCGUUAUGUAAAGCUCUAUCAGCAGGGAAGAAAAUGACGGUACCUGAGUAAGAAGCCCCGGCUAACUACUUGCCAGCAGCCGCGGUCAUACGUAGGGGGCAAGCGUUAUCCGGAUUUACUGGGUGUAAAGGGAGCGUAGACGGCAGUGCAAGUCUGGAGUGAAAGGCGGGGGCUCAACCCCCGGACUGCUCUGGAAACUGUACGGCUGGAGUGCAGGAGAGGUAAGUGGAAGUCCUAGUGUAGCGGUGAAAUGCGUAGAUAUUAGGAGGAACACCAGUGGCGAAGGCGGCUUACUGGACUGUAACUGACGUUGAGGCUCGAAAGCGUGGGGAGCAAACAGGAUUAGAUACCCGAGUAGUC